UAAUAAGUGUUUUAUGGCACUUUUUAAAUCCAUAUCCACCUUGUGUGCAAUGUCGGUCGAUCUUCUUCAUGGAGAUCGACCAAACAUCAACCUUUAUCUUUUAACUCUUUGUCUGAGAAAUAUUAUGAAUAAACAAUUCAAAAUA
RNAcentral lists this unclassified non-coding RNA (145 nucleotides) under soil metagenome. Its description in RNAcentral is "partial internal transcribed spacer 1". The record is from RNAcentral.